RNAcentral lists this ribosomal RNA (564 nucleotides) under uncultured bacterium. Its description in RNAcentral is "partial 16S ribosomal RNA". It matches the Rfam family "Bacterial small subunit ribosomal RNA", at positions 355 to 912 of the family's 1533-position model. The record is from RNAcentral.
UGGGGAAUUUUGGACAAUGGGCGCAAGCCUGAUCCAGCCAUGCCGCGUGCGGGAAGAAGGCCUUCGGGUUGUAAACCGCUUUUGUCAGGGAAGAAAUCUUCUGAGUUAAUACCUCGGGAGGAUGACGGUACCUGAAGAAUAAGCACCGGCUAACUACGUGCCAGCAGCCGCGGUAAUACGUAGGGUGCAAGCGUUAAUCGGAAUUACUGGGCGUAAAGCGUGCGCAGGCGGUUUUGUAAGACAGAGGUGAAAUCCCCGGGCUCAACCUGGGAACUGCCUUUGUGACUGCAAGGCUUGAGUGCGGCAGAGGGGGAUGGAAUUCCGCGUGUAGCAGUGAAAUGCGUAGAUAUGCGGAGGAACACCGAUGGCGAAGGCAAUCCCCUGGGCCUGCACUGACGCUCAUGCACGAAAGCGUGGGGAGCAAACAGGAUUAGAUACCCUGGUAGUCCACGCCCUAAACGAUGUCAACUGGUUGUUGGGAAGGUUCCUUCUCAGUAACGUAGCUAACGCGUGAAGUUGACCGCCUGGGGAGUACGGCCGCAAGGUUGAAACUCAAAUGAAUUG